GACUAAAUCCUGGACCCUUAGCCACCGGUCCCUCAGUGACUAGCGGAGGUAAACCGCAGGUUGUGCCCUUAUUGGAUCACAGGUUCCCACCCGAUCUAAACUCCUGGCCUCAAGAGAGUUUUCUUCCAUAGUGAUUCAAACCCAUCUUUAGUUGCAUGGAAAAGUGUCCACUUGCUCUGCACACCAUUUCGUUCAACCUACACACUAAUUUGAUAUAAAGGGUUAACUCAUCGAGUUACUAUUAUAAUAAAUU
This 253-nucleotide long non-coding RNA is filed under the name Olea europaea (common olive). Its description in RNAcentral is "long non-coding RNA (OEUR_LNC000750)". The record is from RNAcentral. Lineage: Eukaryota; Viridiplantae; Streptophyta; Magnoliopsida; Lamiales; Oleaceae.